Molecule: ribosomal RNA, 477 nt
Filed under: uncultured bacterium
Lineage: Bacteria
Description: bacterial SSU rRNA
Rfam family: Bacterial small subunit ribosomal RNA
Source: RNAcentral
CGCUGGCGGCGUGCCUAAUACAUGCAAGUCGAGCGGAUCUUGUCCUUCGGGACAAGAUUAGCGGCGGACGGGUGAGUAACACGUGGGUAACCUGCCUGUAAGACCGGGAUAACAUUCGGAAACGAAUGCUAAUACCGGAUACGCGGUUUGGUCGCAUGACCGGAUCGGGAAAGAUGGAGCAAUCUAUCACUUACAGAUGGACCCGCGGCGCAUUAGCUAGUUGGUGAGGUAACGGCUCACCAAGGCGACGAUGCGUAGCCGACCUGAGAGGGUGAUCGGCCACACUGGGACUGAGACACGGCCCAGACUCCUACGGGAGGCAGCAGUAGGGAAUCUUCCGCAAUGGACGAAAGUCUGACGGAGCAACGCCGCGUGAGUGAUGAAGGUUUUCGGAUCGUAAAGCUCUGUCGCCAGGGAAGAAUGCUUGGGAGAGUAACUGCUCCCAAGGUGACGGUACCUGAGAAGAAAGCCCCGGCU